Molecule: ribosomal RNA, 253 nt
Filed under: uncultured bacterium
Lineage: Bacteria
Description: partial 16S ribosomal RNA
Rfam family: Bacterial small subunit ribosomal RNA
Source: RNAcentral
UACGGAGGAGGCAAGCGUUAUCCGGAAUUACUGGGCGUAAAGCGCACGUAGGCGGAUAUUUAAGUCAGGGGUGAAAUCCCGGGGCUCAACCCCGGAACUGCCUUUGAUACUGGGUAUCUAGAGUCCGGAAGAGGUGAGUGGAAUUCCGAGUGUAGAGGUGAAAUUCGUAGAUAUUCGGAGGAACACCAGUGGCGAAGGCGGCUCACUGGUCCGGUACUGACGCUGAGGUGCGAAAGCGUGGGGAGCAAACAGG